AGCGAACGGACGAGAAGCUUGCUUCUCUGAUGUUAGCGGCGGACGGGUGAGUAACACGUGGAUAACCUACCUAUAAGACUGGGAUAACUUCGGGAAACCGGAGCUAAUACCGGAUAAUAUUUUGAACCGCAUGGUUCAAAAGUGAAAGACGGUCUUGCUGUCACUUAUAGAUGGAUCCGCGCUGCAUUAGCUAGUUGGUAAGGUAACGGCUUACCAAGGCAACGAUGCAUAGCCGACCUGAGAGGGUGAUCGGCCACACUGGAACUGAGACACGGUCCAGACUCCUACGGGAGGCAGCAGUAGGGAAUCUUCCGCAAUGGGCGAAAGCCUGACGGAGCAACGCCGCGUGAGUGAUGAAGGUCUUCGGAUCGUAAAACUCUGUUAUUAGGGAAGAACAUAUGUGUAAGUAACUGUGCACAUCUUGACGGUACCUAAUCAGAAAGCCACGGCUAACUACGUGCCAGCAGCCGCGGUAAUACGUAGGUGGCAAGCGUUAUCCGGAAUUAUUGGGCGUAAAGCGCGCGUAGGCGGUUUUUUAAGUCUGAUGUGAAAGCCCACGGCUCAACCGUGGAGGGUCAUUGGAAACUGGAAAACUUGAGUGCAGAAGAGGAAAGUGGAAUUCCAUGUGUAGCGGUGAAAUGCGCAGAGAUAUG
RNAcentral lists this ribosomal RNA (653 nucleotides) under uncultured Staphylococcus sp. RNAcentral's name for it is "bacterial SSU rRNA". It matches the Rfam family "Bacterial small subunit ribosomal RNA", at positions 65 to 700 of the family's 1533-position model. Lineage: Bacteria; Bacillati; Bacillota; Bacilli; Caryophanales; Staphylococcaceae. The record is from RNAcentral.